AGCUGCCAUUGGUACAGAUCUUGGUGGUAGUAGCAAAUAAUCGAAUGAGACCUUGGAGGACUGAAGUGGAGAAGGGUUUCGUGUGAACAGUGGUUGAUCACGAGUUAGUCGGUCCUAAGUUCAAGGCGAAAGCCGAAAAUUUUCAAGUAAAACAAAAAUGCCUAACUAUAUAAACAAAGCGAAUAUAAUACACUUGAAUAAUUUUGAACGAAAGGGAAUACGGUUCCAAUUCCGUAACCUGUUGAGUAUCCGUUUGUUAUUAAAUAUGGGCCUCGUGCUCAUCCUGGCAACAGGAACGACCAUAAAGAAGCCGUCGAGAGAUAUCGGAAGAGUUUUCUUUUCUGUUUUAUAGCCGUACUACCAUGGAAGUCUUUCGCAGAGAGAUAUGGUAGAUGGGCUAGAAGAGCAUGACAUAUACUGUUGUGUCGAUAUUUUCUCCUCGGACCUUGAAAAUUUAUGGUGGGGACACGCAAACUUCUCAACAGGCCGUACCAAUAUCCGCAGCUGGUCUCCAAGGUGAAGAGUCUCUAGUCGAUAGAAUAAUGUAGGUAAGGGAAGUCGGCAAAUUAGAUCCGUAACUUCGGGAUAAGGAUUGGCUCUGAAGAUUGAGAUAGUCGGGCUUGAUUGGGAAACAAUAACAUGGUUUAUGUGCUCGUUCUGGGUAAAUAGAGUUUCUAGCAUUUAUGUUAGUUACUUGUUCCCCGGAUAGUUUAGUUACGUAGCCAAUUGUGGAACUUUCUUGCUAAAAUUUUUAAGAAUACUAUUGGGUUAAACCAUUAGUCUUAUCAAUUAUAACGAUUAUCAAUUAACAAUCAAUUCAGAACUGGCACGGACUUGGGGAAUCCGACUGUCUAAUUAAAACAAAGCAUUGUGAUGGCCCUAGCGGGUGUUGACACAAUGUGAUUUCUGCCCAGUGCUCUGAAUGUCAAAGUGAAGAAAUUCAAGUAAGCGCGGGUCAACGGCGGGAGUAACUAUGACUCUCUUAAGGUAGCCAAAUGCCUCGUCAUCUAAUUAGUGACGCGCAUGAAUGGAUUAACGAGAUUCCUACUGUCCCUAUCUACUAUCUAGCGAAACCACAGCCAAGGGAACGGGCUUGGAAUAAUUAGCGGGGAAAGAAGACCCUUUUGAGCUUGACUCUAAUCUGGCAGUGUAAGGAGACAUAAGAGGUGUAGAAUAAGUGGGAGAUAUUAGACCUCGGUUUGGUAUCGUCAAUGAAAUACCACUACUCUUAUUGUUUCCUUACUUACUUGAUUAAAUGGAACGUGUAUCAUUUCCUAGCCAUUAUACGGAUAUAUUUAUUAUAUCUUAUGGUAUUGGGUUUUGAUGCAAGCUUCUUGAUCAAAGUAUCACGAGUUUGUUAUAUAAUCGCAAACAAAUUCUUUAAUAAAACGAUGCAUUUAUGUAUUUUUGAUUUGAAAAUUUGGUAUAACUCCAAUUACUCAGGUAUGAUCCAAUUCAAGGACAUUGCCAGGUAGGGAGUUUGACUGGGGCGGUACAUCUCUCAAAUAAUAACGGAGGUGUCCCA
Molecule: non-coding RNA, 1525 nt
Filed under: Drosophila sechellia
Lineage: Eukaryota; Metazoa; Arthropoda; Insecta; Diptera; Drosophilidae
Description: Eukaryotic large subunit ribosomal RNA
Rfam family: Eukaryotic large subunit ribosomal RNA
Source: Rfam by way of RNAcentral